UGGUCCCAUGCAAAGUGGUGCAUCUCAAACCAUGGGAAAUUAAUUAGCACGCACCAAUCAUUGAAAUGUUUACUUUAUUCUCAUAUUUUAUCCUACAUUAUAUAUAUAUAUAUAGAGAGAGAGAUGGGCUGGAAUGCUAUCGGUAGCAAAUAGACUCCAUUGCAACCCAUUUGUUUUUGAUAAUGGAGCCUCCAAAUCGACGAUCGGCACAGUUAAAUAUGAUUUAUACCACUUGAAGUAUUUACAAACGAAAUUUCAAAUUUUUUCAACAUCUCUAGUUUCAAAAUUUAUAAUUUUAAUACUUCAUAUGAGACGUUUUCUCGUUUAAUGGCGUGAAGAUAUCCAAAUCAAUUGAAUUUUAAUUAAAAUUUUUUUAAAACUAUUUAAAAUAAGAUCUAUACUCUUGAUCUUGGCUACAAGACUCCUAUCAUCAUUGUUUAAAUGAUAUUCAUUUUCAGCCGUUCAUUUUUAUAUCUACUUGAUGAACAAGAGAAAAAUAUCGAAAAAAUAUGAAAUUUGAUUUCUAUAUUAGAUGCUGCAAAUCUUAUGUGUUUUAAUUGUAAUAAAGAAGACUCUAUACUAUAUUAUCCCUUGAGUAGAGCUACUAUGCUAUCGGAAGUAUAGAGCAUCUGGUGCUUCCGACUUUUUUGCCCUUAGAUCAACUGCUUUGAUCAUUUCUACCCUUUGGAUUAAUACUAUUAUCCUGUGGGGCCCAUUCAACUCUAGGGGUACUAUUCAACCCUAAGGGGGAGGAUCUGUUGCUUCCGACUUUUUGACCCUUAUAUCAACUCUUUUGAUUAUUUCUAUCCUUUGGAUUAAUACUGUUAUCCUGUGAGGACCACUCAACCCUAGGGAUACUACUCAACCCUAGAGGGACCAUAUUCAUUUCAAUCGUAUAUAUAAUUCUUGAUCCAAUGAUCAAAAAGUUGGAAGCAUCAAAUUCUUUAUAUUUCCGAUAGUAUAGUAGCUCUACACUUACCCCUUUUAAUUAAUUCGAUAGGGACAAAUAUAUUGCAUGGAAUUUAUAAAUAAAACUUUUAAUGAGCAAAGCUCAAGUGUUUUCGUUUUAUUCUUUUGAGAAAAAUGUAUUGAAUAUAAAAUAUAAAAAAUAUUAUUCUUUAAUAGCUUAGAUUUUCGUACAGAAUAGAGAAUAAUGGUUGUUUCAUUUAAUCUAAUAAAAAUAUCUAUAUACAAUAAACCACAAUUAAUGUUACAGCAUUAAUUACUCUUUUUUUCUCUAAUUAUAAGUUUUCGUUGCUAGCUACAAUUAUUAUUGUAACGACCCGACCCGCUAGCAAUAAUAACUCGUUGGGUCUAAACAAUCGACCGAAAAUAUUUAAGUCCAGUUAUUAUUACUAGGGUGGAAUCCUGAUAUAUGCCCACUACAACAAAAUUAGAUUACAUGGAUAUAUUUUUGGGACACUUUUGUGUAAGUGUUCUAUUUAUGCCAAAAAAUUUUAAAAAAAUCUUUUAAACCCUAAAUAUAAAGCUCAAUUCAACCAAAAAUAAAAAGUUUCUCUACUCAACCAACCCCACCCAGCCCACUCGGCCCGCUUACAAAUAGAAAAAGAAAAAAAAAAAAUUGAUCACCAUCUUCCCUUCUCCUCCUUCGUUGUUACAGCCGACGAGAUAGGGUUUCGGCAGGUAGAGUUCAACCUCGAGGAUCUCGUAGGGACCGUAAAGGAUUAUGAUUGCCACGUGUCCCUCUGCCACAGGUUACUGGCGGAGUUGGUGCCAAACAUCAAGGCGGCCCCACAUAUAACAACACCUUUAAAAAGUGUCGGUAAUUUAACCAGCAAUAUUUUUUUUGAUCUGUAUCGACAUUUAAAAGUGUCGCUAU
This 1840-nucleotide long non-coding RNA is filed under the name Ananas comosus (pineapple). Its description in RNAcentral is "long non-coding RNA (ACOM_LNC032939)". The record is from RNAcentral. Lineage: Eukaryota; Viridiplantae; Streptophyta; Magnoliopsida; Poales; Bromeliaceae.